This 73-nucleotide transfer RNA is filed under the name Ailuropoda melanoleuca (giant panda). It matches the Rfam family "tRNA". From Rfam's summary of the family: Transfer RNA (tRNA) molecules are approximately 80 nucleotides in length. Their secondary structure includes four short double-helical elements and three loops (D, anti-codon, and T loops). Further hydrogen bonds mediate the characteristic L-shaped molecular structure. tRNAs have two regions of fundamental functional importance: the anti-codon, which is responsible for specific mRNA codon recognition, and the 3' end, to which the tRNAs corresponding amino acid is attached (by aminoacyl-tRNA synthetases). tRNAs cope with the degeneracy of the genetic code in two manners: having more than one tRNA (with a specific anti-codon) for a particular amino acid; and 'wobble' base-pairing, i.e. permitting non-standard base-pairing at the 3rd anti-codon position. Lineage: Eukaryota; Metazoa; Chordata; Mammalia; Carnivora; Ursidae. The record is from Rfam by way of RNAcentral.
GCCUGGCUGGCCCAGUCGGUAGAGCAUGUGUCUCUGAAUCUCCGGGCUGUGAGUUCAAGCCCCACGUUGGGUG